AAGUCGUAACAAGGUCUCCGUAGGUGAACCUGCGGAAGGAUCAUUACCUGAGGCCACGGGCCGUUCCCGGGCGCGCCUAGCGCACCCCCGGGAGCGCUUAGCCCCUGACUAUCACCUUGACUAUGCGCACCUUUGUUGUUCCCUCGGCAGUCCGCUGCCGCCAGGGACCACGAAACCCCUUGCAUCAGCAUCAAACCUCUGAAAACCAACCUAAUUAUUUACAA
Molecule: unclassified non-coding RNA, 224 nt
Filed under: plant metagenome
Description: partial contains small subunit ribosomal RNA and internal transcribed spacer 1
Rfam family: Eukaryotic small subunit ribosomal RNA (bases 1-46)
Source: RNAcentral